UACAGAGGUGGCUAGCGUUGCUCGGAAUCACUGGGCGUAAAGGGUGCGUAGGCGGGUCUUUAAGUCAGGGGUGAAAUCCUGGAGCUCAACUCCAGAACUGCCUUUGAUACUGAGGAUCUUGAGUACGGGAGAGGUGAGUGGAACUGCGAGUGUAGAGGUGAAAUUCGUAGAUAUUCGCAAGAACACCAGUGGCGAAGGCGGCUCACUGGCCCGUAACUGACGCUGAGGCACGAAAGCGUGGGGAGCAAACAGG
RNAcentral lists this ribosomal RNA (253 nucleotides) under uncultured bacterium. Its description in RNAcentral is "partial 16S ribosomal RNA". It matches the Rfam family "Bacterial small subunit ribosomal RNA", at positions 524 to 776 of the family's 1533-position model. The record is from RNAcentral.